Long non-coding RNA from Passer domesticus (house sparrow), 3472 nucleotides. RefSeq lists it as uncharacterized. The record is from RefSeq and is a predicted model, not a curated record. NCBI's taxonomy places the organism in Eukaryota, Metazoa, Chordata, Aves, Passeriformes, Passeridae. The transcript is spliced from 2 exons.
CGGGUCCUGUCUCUGCCCACCUGGACAGAGAUCAGAGCUUGCCCAGAGCAGCUGUGGCUGCCCCUGGAUCCCUGGCAGUGUCCAAAGCCAGGUUGGACAGGGCUUGGAGCAGCCUGGGAUAAUGGAAGGGGUCCCUGCCCAUGGCAGGGGGUGCAAUGAGAUGAACUUUAGCGUCUCUUCCAAGCCAAGUAAUUCUGUGAUUCUGUGAUUUUGGGAGAGAGGCUGAAGCUCUGGCUCAGCUUUAUCUCCCCAGAUGUCUGGACCCAGCAGCAGCCAUGGGUGGGAUCAUCUCCUCCUCCCUCUCCCUGUAGCUGGAACUCACCCAACGGAGCAACUGAAUAAUGUCCCUCAUGGGCAGUGACUACCAGAAAGGAAUGUUCCUCCUUGGGGAAACACAUUGUCCUUGGAAUUCAGCCGAGCAUUGAAAUGGCCCCCUUGGUGUGGGAACUCAGUACAUUACUCCGGAUGUCCAGAGCUACCGAGACAACCCUUGGGGGGCUCGGAAGCCCUGGAAUGCUGCCAAAAGUACCUGGUGGCUUGACUUUGAUCCUUUUAAAGAAAUGACACCUGAAGGUGAGGAGAUGAGAAAAUUUCAUGUCUAAAUGGUGAGGGGAUGUUAUUCACUUGUUAGAACUUAAGUUAGAAUGCACUGUACAGGGGGGUUUUAUGUGUUGUACAGGGGGGUCUAGAAUUCUGUACAUGGAUCAGGAGUCCCAAGAUGGAGGAAUUUGGGCGUGCCCUGUCCUUCUUCUUUCUUCUCCUUGGCAUCCAUGUUCAGGAUGAUGUUGGCAUGUGUGGAUUGGUUCAUAGAAAGAGUACACUUGCCAACAAGGGCAGAAAGUAUUGGGAAGUAAAGGUAAAUAUCGAAUACGUAAUUUUCAUUAUAAAAGAGACAACCGCCUCGUGGGCGGGGGAGAGUGCCUUUGGCUGUCCUGCUGAACAGACCUCGGCUGGACAGACAGAAAAUCUUUGUAGAUAAGAAAUAAUAAACUCGACUGAAGACCGAAAGCAAGAGUCCAGACUCCUUCUUCGAGAGCGCGGCCUACCCAGAACCACUUUUUCCCGUGCUGGGGCAGAGACAAGCAACAGCCGACCCCGGCAUCUGGCGUCCCUGGGUGGGCACGAAGGGGGGCCCGAAGGUGGGCACGAGGAGCGACAGCUCGAGCGGAGAGCCGAAGAGUGAGCUGCAAAGAGAACACCCAGGUGGGCAGCACCCGAGCGGGCAGCUCCCAGGCGGGCAGUUCCCGGAGCUGGACUCAUUCCCAGGAGAACACUGAUAACUCCUUGGGAAGGCAGCCAGAAGAGUCCGAAGAAGCAGCAGCCAGAGAGAGAACACCGCACUCCACUUCUCCCGAAGAGACCUCGUAUCAGAACAGCCCGGAGCGGAAUCAGAAGGGCCCCUGAAUCCAUCUCCUGUGACCUGCUGGACGGGAACCGGGAGCCUCCAGACUGCUCUGACGACAUAAAUUCGAGCAAGGUCCGAAGUGGGUGUCGGCACGACACGUGAAGCCGUUUCGAACGCAAGAACAAAAGAACACAGAUCCCGGAAACAGAGAGACAAGUACUCAGACAGAGGAGGAGACUCAAACUACAGGCAAUAAUCUAGAAAAAACAGAAGAAUAAAAGACUUUGGGGGGUUUUCUGAAAAACUUUGGGUGGAAAAUGGUGAUAUUUAGUCAGAAAGGUGGGGUGAUAAACUUUGCAAUGUUCAUGUGUUUUGUCUCAUUGCCAAUGGUUUUGAAAAACAAAGCAAAUUUACCAGUCAAUCAGCCAGAGAAAAAUGUUUGGGAAGCUUUAGCCCAAGCAGCAGAUUUAGAUAGCAUUUGCCUGACGCACUCCAGACCAGGGAGGCCAUUUUCAGCAUGCAUGAUUGGAUUGCCAGUGAAUGAAUGGCCAAUUCCAGGACACACUGCAAUCGAGAUCUCACAGGUCGUUAAAGAUCCUGUGAAUGAAUGGUAUACUUGGACACAUUCUCUUCCUGUGGCUUCUUCUGAACCUCAGGAAUUGGAGAUUUUCGGGUCCAUGAUAAUGAAUGUAUGCAUGAAAUUGGAAGUUUCAGGUACAGCAAAGCCAAACAAAACUAUUGAUGUUACUCCCAGUCAUGAAUUCUACAGAAAUGCGUCAGCCUGGUGCAACAACACCAUGGUGACAGACAAAGGGUCACUCCAAGUCCCAGUGCAACUGCCAAGGGGAUUCUUUUUGAUUUGUGGAGACAGGAUUUGGCAUGGUAUUCCUGCGAAUGCCAAGGGAGGUCCAUGCGGCAUUGGAAGAAUUUCAAUGCUGACGCCAGAUUUAAAGAUGCAGAGAGAACAAAAACAUAAAGAAAAAAGAUCUUUACAAUAUUUCGAUGAGAAUUGUGAUGACAGGGUUUACACUUGGAGCAAGGCAAGGGGAAUUGCGAUAGCAAUUUUCUCACCUCAGGCAGCAUCAGGAAUUGCUUUGACUCAAUUGGAUCGUAUGGGUUGUUGGCUGAGCAAGCAUGCUCAAUCAGUCUGUCUUGCACUGAGUGACAUGUUACAAGACAUGAACAGUGUAAGACAGGCAACUCUGCAAAACAGAGCAGCAAUCAAUUAUCUUUUGCUUGCUCACGGCCAUGGGUGCAAAGAAUUUGAAGGAAUGUGCUGUAUGAAUCUCUCCGAUCAUUCCAGGUCAAUUCAUGAAAAUAUUGAAAAAAUAGAGGAGAGUGUGAAGAAACUUGGCGAGAUCACUGGAUCUUGGAUUGAGGACAUGGCAAAGUUUUUUGAUCUUUCACCUUUGGGAAAAGAAAUUUUAAAGAUAGGGUUUCAAAUUUUGGUGAUUCUCAUAGUUCUCUUGAUUGUAAUCCCAUGCAUUCUUUUGUGUGUGCGGGGUGUCAUGAGUCGAGUUGUAAAGAGGGUGCUUUUGGUGCAAACAGAAGGGGGAGAUGUGGGAAUUCAGUACAUUACUCCGGAUGUCCAGAGCUACCAAGACAACCCUUGGGGGGCUCGGAAGCCCUGGAAUGCUGCCAAAAGUACCUGGUGGCUUGACUUUGAUCCUUUUAAAGAAAUGACACCUGAAGGUGAGGAGAUGAGAAAAUUUCAUGUCUAAAUGGUGAGGGGAUGUUAUUCACUUGUUAGAACUUAAGUUAGAAUGCACUGUACAGGGGGGUUUUAUGUGUUGUACAGGGGGGUCUAGAAUUCUGUACAUGGAUCAGGAGUCCCAAGAUGGAGGAAUUUGGGCGUGCCCUGUCCUUCUUCUUUCUUCUCCUUGGCAUCCAUGUUCAGGAUGAUGUUGGCAUGUGUGGAUUGGUUCAUAGAAAGAGUACACUUGCCAACAAGGUCAGAAAGUAUUGGGAAGUAAAGGUAAAUAUUGAAUACGUAAUUUUCAUUAUAAAAGAGACAACCGCCUCGUGGGCGGGGGAGAGUGCCUUUGGCUGUCCUGCUGAACAGACCUCGGCUGGACAGACAGAAAAUCUUUGUAGAUAAGAAAUAAUAAACUCGACUGAAGACCGAAA